Molecule: ribosomal RNA, 295 nt
Filed under: uncultured bacterium
Lineage: Bacteria
Description: partial 16S ribosomal RNA
Rfam family: Bacterial small subunit ribosomal RNA
Source: RNAcentral
GUAGUCCACGCCGUAAACGAUGGAUACUUGUUGUUGGAGGUAUUGACCCCUUCAGUGACGCAGUUAACACGGUAAGUAUCCCGCCUGGGGAGUACGGUCGCAAGAUUAAAACUCAAAGAAAUUGACGGGGGCCGCACAAGCGGUGGAGUAUGUGGUUUAAUUCGAUGCAACGCGAAGAACCUUACCUACUUUUGACAUGUACUGGAAGACUGGCAGAAAUGUCGUCGCCCGCAAGGGCCGGUACACAGGUGCUGCAUGGCUGUCGUCAGCUCGUGUCGUGAGAUGUUGGGUUAAG